CCUACGGGAGGCAGCAGUGGGGAAUAUUGCACAAUGGGGGGAACCCUGAUGCAGCGAUGCCGCGUGGAGGCAGAAGGUUUUCGGAUUGUAAAAUCCUUUUAUCAGGGAAGAUAAUGACGGUACCUGAAGAAAAAGCUCAGGCUAACUACGUGCCAGCAGCCGUGGUAAUACGUAGGGCGCGAGCGUUGUUCGGAAUUACUGGGUGUAAUGGGAGCGUAGGCGGGACGGCAAGUAAGAUGUGAAAACUGAGGGCCCAACCUUCAGACUGCAUUUGAAACUGCUGUUCUUGAGUGAAGUAGAGGUAAGCGGAAUUCGUAGUGUAGCGGUGAAAUGCGUAGAUAUUAGGAGGAACAUCGGUGGCGAAGGCGGCUUACUGGGCUUUAACUGACGCUGAGGCUCGAAAGCGUGGGGAGCAAACAGGAUUAGAUACCCGGGUAGUC
This 440-nucleotide ribosomal RNA is filed under the name uncultured bacterium. RNAcentral's name for it is "partial 16S ribosomal RNA". It matches the Rfam family "Bacterial small subunit ribosomal RNA", at positions 338 to 795 of the family's 1533-position model. The record is from RNAcentral.